Molecule: non-coding RNA, 135 nt
Organism: Triticum aestivum (bread wheat)
Lineage: Eukaryota; Viridiplantae; Streptophyta; Magnoliopsida; Poales; Poaceae
Source: Rfam
UUUGUACUCCCUCUUUCCGGAAAUACUUGUCAUCAAAAUGAAUAAAAGUGGAUGUAUCUAGAUGUAUUUUAGUUCUAGAUAUAUCUUUUUUUAUCUAUUUUGAUGACAAGUAUUUUCGGACGGAGUGAGUAGAAA